UGAAUUCGUCGAAGCAUACUUUGGCCAGCAUGAUGGAGCUGCAGGAGGCUUUGCUUGAGAGUAAUCAGGCUACAAAGGAUGCCAAUGAAAUUCCUUCUGCCUCAAAUGGAGACAAUGACGAGUGGUCAGAAGUACAGAGAUUGCAGACAAGGUAAAUUUUGCAAUAGAAAUAACUAACCAA
This is a long non-coding RNA of Zea mays, 181 nucleotides long. RefSeq lists it as uncharacterized. The record is from RefSeq and is a predicted model, not a curated record. NCBI's taxonomy places the organism in Eukaryota, Viridiplantae, Streptophyta, Magnoliopsida, Poales, Poaceae. The transcript is spliced from 3 exons.